RNAcentral lists this ribosomal RNA (211 nucleotides) under Lactiplantibacillus plantarum. Its description in RNAcentral is "Lactobacillus plantarum partial 16S ribosomal RNA". It matches the Rfam family "Bacterial small subunit ribosomal RNA", at positions 59 to 251 of the family's 1533-position model. The record is from RNAcentral. Lineage: Bacteria; Bacillati; Bacillota; Bacilli; Lactobacillales; Lactobacillaceae.
CAACUGAUAUGACGUGCUUGCACUGAAUUGACGUUGGAUUCCCAGUGAGCGGCGGACGGGUGAGUAACACGUGGGCAACCUGCCCUGAAGCGGGGGAUAACAUCUGGAAACAGGUGCUAAUACCGCAUAACAACGAAAACCACAUGGUUUUCGUUUCAAAGAUGGUUUCGGCUAUCACUUCAGGAUGGGCCCGCGGUGCAUUAGCUAGUUG